RNAcentral lists this ribosomal RNA (460 nucleotides) under uncultured bacterium. Its description in RNAcentral is "partial 16S ribosomal RNA". It matches the Rfam family "Bacterial small subunit ribosomal RNA", at positions 338 to 795 of the family's 1533-position model. The record is from RNAcentral.
CCUACGGGAGGCAGCAGUGAGGAAUAUUGGUCAAUGGACGCAAGUCUGAACCAGCCAUGCCGCGUGCAGGAAGACGGCUCUAUGAGUUGUAAACUGCUUUUGUACGAGGGUAAACGCAGAUACGCGUAUCUGUCUGAAAGUAUCGUACGAAUAAGGAUCGGCUAACUCCGUGCCAGCAGCCGCGGUAAUACGGAGGAUUCAAGCGUUAUCCGGAUUUAUUGGGUUUAAAGGGUGCGUAGGCGGUCGGAUAAGUUAGAGGUGAAAUCCCGAGGCUCAACUUCGGAAUUGCCUCUGAUACUGUUCGGCGAGAGAGUAGUUGCGGUAGGCGGAAUGUAGGGUGUAGCGGUGAAAUGCUUAGAGAUCAUACAGAACACCGAUUGCGAAGGCAGCUUACCAAGCUACUUCUGACGUUGAGGCACGAAAGCGUGGGGAGCAAACAGGAUUAGAUACCCGGGUAGUC